GGUCGCGUAGCUCAACGGGAGAGCACCGGAUUGUCUAUCCGGGUGUUGCGGGUUCGAAUCCCGUCGCGAUCGCCA
RNAcentral lists this transfer RNA (75 nucleotides) under Antarctobacter albus. Its description in RNAcentral is "Mameliella alba tRNA-Asp". It matches the Rfam family "tRNA". Rfam says of the family: Transfer RNA (tRNA) molecules are approximately 80 nucleotides in length. Their secondary structure includes four short double-helical elements and three loops (D, anti-codon, and T loops). Further hydrogen bonds mediate the characteristic L-shaped molecular structure. tRNAs have two regions of fundamental functional importance: the anti-codon, which is responsible for specific mRNA codon recognition, and the 3' end, to which the tRNAs corresponding amino acid is attached (by aminoacyl-tRNA synthetases). tRNAs cope with the degeneracy of the genetic code in two manners: having more than one tRNA (with a specific anti-codon) for a particular amino acid; and 'wobble' base-pairing, i.e. permitting non-standard base-pairing at the 3rd anti-codon position. The record is from RNAcentral. Lineage: Bacteria; Pseudomonadati; Pseudomonadota; Alphaproteobacteria; Rhodobacterales; Roseobacteraceae. RNAcentral also lists the same sequence under 4 other names.